This 23-nucleotide microRNA is filed under the name Marchantia polymorpha subsp. ruderalis. Lineage: Eukaryota; Viridiplantae; Streptophyta; Marchantiopsida; Marchantiales; Marchantiaceae. The record is from RNAcentral.
UUGAUCUGGAAUCGUGGAAAGAA